AAACAUGACUUUGAUCUGCGUCCUCAUCUGGACUCUCCUCUGCUGCUGCUUCACAGAGUCCAGAGGACAGAUCACAGUGACUCAGCCUGGAGCAGUGAGCUCUGCUGUGGGAAGAACUGUGAGCAUCAAGUGUAGGACCAGUCAGGAUGUUCUUGGCUCCACACAUUUAGCCUGGUACCAACAGAAAGAUGGAGGAGUUCCUAAACUCCUCAUUUACUAUGCUAGCAGUCGAUAUUCAGGGAUUCCAGCUCGUUUUACAGGCAGUGGAUCAAACACUGACUUCACUCUGACCAUCAGUGGAGUCCAGGCUGAAGAUGCAGCAGUUUAUUACUGUCAGAGUGUUCACUAUACCAGUCGGUAUGAGUUCACACAGUGA
Molecule: non-coding RNA, 376 nt
Organism: Oreochromis niloticus (Nile tilapia)
Lineage: Eukaryota; Metazoa; Chordata; Actinopteri; Cichliformes; Cichlidae
Source: the annotation of a RefSeq genome assembly